This 448-nucleotide ribosomal RNA is filed under the name uncultured bacterium. RNAcentral describes it as "partial 16S ribosomal RNA". It matches the Rfam family "Bacterial small subunit ribosomal RNA", at positions 355 to 795 of the family's 1533-position model. The record is from RNAcentral.
UAGGGAAUCUUCCACAAUGGACGCAAGUCUGAUGGAGCAACGCCGCGUGAGUGAAGAAGGCUUUCGGGUCGUAAAACUCUGUUAUUGAAGAAGAACGUGUGUGACAGUAACUGGUCAUGCAGUGACGGUAUUCAAUCAGAAAGUCACGGCUAACUACGUGCCAGCAGCCGCGGUAAUACGUAGGUGGCAAGCGUUGUCCGGAUUUAUUGGGCGUAAAGCGAGUGCAGGCGGUCUUUUAAGUCUGAUGUGAAAGCCUUCGGCUUAACCGAAGAAGGGCAUCGGAAACUGGGAGACUUGAGUGCAGAAGAGGAGAGUGGAACUCCAUGUGUAGCGGUGAAAUGCGUAGAUAUAUGGAAGAACACCAGUGGCGAAGGCGGCUCUCUGGUCUGUAACUGACGCUGAGGCUCGAAAGCGUGGGUAGCAAACAGGAUUAGAUACCCCGGUAGUC